UAGAAAAAGCUGGGAACAGAGGUUACCAGAGGUUAGAUUACAAACUGUAAAAAACCCUCGUCCUUCAUCAGAGUGCUUCUCGGCAGGAUCAAAGCUGCAGUUGGGUGCUCGGUACUUAUCUCCUCCCACGUUCUCUUGCACGGGUGAUCGUGAUGACUAAGAUGCUGAUGAUUAUGAUCAUGAUGCUGAUAUUGGAGGAUCUUAGUGUAUCAACAAAGUGAUGGUCGUAAGGGUGAUCAUGCCGAUUAGGAUGCUGAUGUUGGAGGAUUUUCGAGUAUUUAGGUGUUAGUAUUGUACUGCUUGGAUGAUAUUUGGAACAUAUGGUUGUGUUGCUGAAAUUUUAAGGAUAUUGAUGUAAAUUUUGAUGUUAAUAUUGUUGGGUUAUUCAAUGCGAUCAAUUUAAAUACA
Long non-coding RNA from Daucus carota subsp. sativus, 408 nucleotides. RefSeq lists it as uncharacterized. Lineage: Eukaryota; Viridiplantae; Streptophyta; Magnoliopsida; Apiales; Apiaceae. The transcript has 3 exons. The record is from RefSeq and is a predicted model, not a curated record.